Molecule: unclassified non-coding RNA, 187 nt
Filed under: uncultured Helotiales
Lineage: Eukaryota; Fungi; Ascomycota; Leotiomycetes; Helotiales
Description: sequence contains ITS2
Source: RNAcentral
CAACCCUCGAGCCCGACUCUGUAUAGAGAACGGCCCGGUGUUGGGGACCGGCAAUAGUGGAGACUUGUGCUCCGCGCCGCCCCCGAAAUUUAGUGGCGGCCCUCUGAGGCGACCUCUGCGUAGUAAUUUUAUCUCGCACUGGAAAACUCAGGGUGGCCACGCCGUAAAACCCCCGACUUUUUUAAGG